UACGUAGGGUGCAAGCGUUGUCCGGAAUUAUUGGGCGUAAAGAGCUCGUAGGCGGUUUGUCGCGUCUGCUGUGAAAACGCGAGGCUCAACCUCGCGCCUGCAGUGGGUACGGGCAGACUAGAGUGCGGUAGGGGAGAUUGGAAUUCCUGGUGUAGCGGUGGAAUGCGCAGAUAUCAGGAGGAACACCGAUGGCGAAGGCAGAUCUCUGGGCCGUUGACUGACGCUGAGGAGCGAAAGCGUGGGGAGCGAACAGG
This 254-nucleotide ribosomal RNA is filed under the name uncultured bacterium. Its description in RNAcentral is "partial 16S ribosomal RNA". It matches the Rfam family "Bacterial small subunit ribosomal RNA", at positions 524 to 776 of the family's 1533-position model. The record is from RNAcentral.